This 121-nucleotide small nucleolar RNA is filed under the name Propithecus coquereli (Coquerel's sifaka). RNAcentral describes it as "Small nucleolar RNA SNORA51 (ENSPCOG00000006567.1)". Lineage: Eukaryota; Metazoa; Chordata; Mammalia; Primates; Indriidae. The record is from RNAcentral.
UACAACCCCAAUAUAUUAAGCCUAUACUUGUUUCUGUCCAUUACAUGAGAGUUAUUGAAAAAAUCUAUCCCAUGUACACCAGGCCCUGUGCCUGGUCUGUAUUGUGAAUGGGGGAACAUGG